GGCUCGACUUUUUGGAAGGGCCGUAUUUAUUANAUAACAGCCAAUAAGACUCACGUCUAUUNNGGGGACUCAUAGUAACUGAUCGGAUCGCAUGGGCUUGUCCCGCGACAAACCAUUCAAGUUUCUGCCCCAUCAGCUUUCGAUGGUAGUGUAUUGGACUACCAUGGCUUUUACGGGUAACGGAGGAUUAGGGUUCGAUUCCGGAGAGGGAGCCUGAGAAACGGCUACCACAUCUAAAGAAGGCAGCAGGCGCGUAAAUUACCCAAUCCUGACUCAGGGAGGUAGUGACAAAAAAUAACGGGGCGGGAG
Molecule: ribosomal RNA, 309 nt
Filed under: uncultured Spirotrichea
Lineage: Eukaryota; Ciliophora; Spirotrichea
Description: SSU rRNA
Rfam family: Eukaryotic small subunit ribosomal RNA
Source: RNAcentral